RNAcentral lists this ribosomal RNA (1251 nucleotides) under Triticum aestivum (bread wheat). RNAcentral's name for it is "partial small subunit ribosomal RNA". Lineage: Eukaryota; Viridiplantae; Streptophyta; Magnoliopsida; Poales; Poaceae. The record is from RNAcentral.
AUGGGUAUGCAGGCUCUGAUGGAUGUCCGGUGCAUGAAUCUAGUCAACCCUGUAUGCGAAUGGCUUGGUGAGAUUUACGACCCCGCCUCCAGGGAAUUUGUGAUUCCGGUACGUGGAAGACUGCCAUUUAACAAGGAAUCCAUGUUCUGCACUUUGGGUGUGCCCCGUGGAGAAAUCAAAGUCCCGUAUGAGGUCAAUAAUAAGAUCGAGGAAACGUUGUUCCCCCAUUUGUUUCCUGGGUUGGAAUCCAUGCCGAACACGUCUUUCCUGGCAGAUUCGUUGCAGGCCAUGACAACCCAUGGCGAGGUUUUUAAGAUGAAACUACUCAUGUACCUCAUCUCAGUUGUUUUCGCGCCGACCACUUCUCUUCGCCCAAGCAACAAAUGCUCCCCCAUCCUGGCGAAACUGAAAGAUGUGAAGAACAUGAAUUGGUGUAAGUUCAUUGCCGACUUCCUGCAUGAUGCAUUCUCAAGCAAGAUGUACCAGAAGGGUUGUCGACUGCAUUUAAUGCUCAUGUACGUCGACUGUCUUGAACUGUCCACCGUGGAUUUAACUGGGACAGGAGGCCCGCCGCCUAUGCACAAGUUUGCUGUUUCGGCGUGGACUUACGAUGCUGUCAAGGUUGUGCUUGCAGCAGACAGGGUAACUGAUACCAAAUAUAUAAAACUGCAGCUGAUGGCCAAGCAUGCUAUAGACUAUAGCGUGUGUGGGGGGCCUCAAAACUUUGGAAAGUGGAUGGACAUGCACUCAGCUCCGUCUUGCCCUACUAAGGCGAGGGCACCCGUUGAGCAUCUAAUUGGGCAGUUUGCAUCCAGAAUGACCAUCUUGCUCGGGAAGUUGGUUGAGGGUUGGACGUCCCUUAACGACUCUGACAGCGACGCGGUUGCGAGGCAGUUCACUACAUUUGUCCCAGAACGGACACAUCGGCUAACUGGUUGCCGUGGCCGGUACGACUACAACAGUUCCCAAGAGCUUGCUGACACACAAGAUGAACUAGAUGGAGAUGCUGGUCUCAACAAGUAUGAUGACGAUGACAUGGAGAACGUGCAACACGACACCGAUGAUGAUGAACAUGUUGAAGUUCGUGCAGGUGGUAAGAAGGGCAAGGAUGCACCAGAUGUCCCCCAACCGGAGAAAGUCAAAGAACAUACGGCUGCGAGAGGCGAGGGGGUGUUGCCCUCAAAGAGGGGGAGGGCUCCAGAGGAUGUUGGGCAGGGUUCUCCUGGCAAGAGGUCUAGGACCGAUCCCGUA